CGGACGGGUGAGUAACGCGUGGAGAACCUGCCGUAUACUGGGGGAUAACACUUAGAAAUAGGUGCUAAUACCGCAUAAGCGCACAGCUUCGCAUGAAGCAGUGUGAAAAACUCCGGUGGUAUACGAUGGAUCCGCGUCUGAUUAGCUUGUUGGCGGGGUAAAGGCCCACCAAGGCGACGAUCAGUAGCCGGCCUGAGGGGUGAACGGCCACAUUGGGACUGAGACACGGCCCAAACUCCUACGGAAGGCAGCAG
RNAcentral lists this ribosomal RNA (254 nucleotides) under uncultured bacterium. RNAcentral describes it as "partial 16S ribosomal RNA". It matches the Rfam family "Bacterial small subunit ribosomal RNA", at positions 99 to 354 of the family's 1533-position model. The record is from RNAcentral.